Molecule: transfer RNA, 87 nt
Filed under: Roseivirga sp.
Lineage: Bacteria; Pseudomonadati; Bacteroidota; Cytophagia; Cytophagales; Roseivirgaceae
Description: tRNA-Ser
Rfam family: tRNA
About the family: Transfer RNA (tRNA) molecules are approximately 80 nucleotides in length.
Source: RNAcentral
GGAGAGUAGGCAGAUAUUGGUUCGCUGCGCUUACCUGCUAAGUAAGUUCCCAUUCGUGGGAUGAAGGUUCGAUUCCUUUGCUCUCCG